UAUUACUAUUUACAAAUUAUUUUAUAUAAUGUAUGUUCAUAUAAAGUAAAGUUGAAUGCAUCGGUUUUGAAACAUAAAUAUGAUUUGUAAUUGUUUUUGAAAAGUCCAACUAUAUUAGUUCAUCUGAAAAACGAAUGUGCUUUAGUUAUUUUUUAUUGUUGUUCUAGAUUCUCAGUUUUUUUUUUUUAAUUUGUAUAUCCUUGUUUUUUUGGUUAUAUGUUUAGAUUGUGAGAUGGUGAAAUUUUAGAAAAUUUAUUUCUUA
Molecule: small RNA, 262 nt
Filed under: Arabidopsis thaliana (thale cress)
Lineage: Eukaryota; Viridiplantae; Streptophyta; Magnoliopsida; Brassicales; Brassicaceae
Description: ATSL094260
Source: RNAcentral